Xiphophorus maculatus (southern platyfish) is the source of this 1464-nucleotide long non-coding RNA. RefSeq lists it as uncharacterized. NCBI's taxonomy places the organism in Eukaryota, Metazoa, Chordata, Actinopteri, Cyprinodontiformes, Poeciliidae. The transcript has 3 exons. The record is from RefSeq and is a predicted model, not a curated record.
UAGGAAAUUGAAUUCCCUCUCCUCCUGCAAAACUCUCCCCGGGAUUAAACCGUCACCGUGUGAUUUACUGUAACCUCGCUGCAGAGCAGAGCCAUCGCCGGAGUCAUGAUUGAUGCGGCGGCGGGAGCUUCUCGCUGCAGCAUUUCCACACUGUCAGAUAUUUCAUUUUUGCUCCCUGCACAGUUACCACAGGUCUGAGCAUCAUGAGUGAUGGCGUGCAGUGGGUUCUGACCUCUGAGUCGCCUGAUGAGAGCGAUGAGGAUGCUGUACCUAGACGUGAGAAUAGAUUUGUAUCAAGCAUCCUGUCGACAUUCCAGGCUGGGAGAAAGAAAAAGGCGUUUGCCAGCACAUCUUUCAGUCGGUGAAGGGCUUGUCGGUGCCAAAAUGUGCACGCUUUUCCUUCCAGGAGAGGAUUGAUGCGUCUUCCAUCGCUGUGACUGACAGGCUACACAAACAGCUAAGCGAUCUGUCUGGGAUCUGGGCCCCCCUGCGCAGGCAGAGGCUGUACUCACUCUGAUGUCCUGGGGGCCUUGCGAGGGAAGAAGGGGGCCUUGAGCUGGCCCUGUGUGAGUGUGUGUGUGUAUGUGUUUUUUUUUUUUUAUUAUUUAUUUAACGCCCACACCCCUCGUGUAAAGACUCGGUAGUGAGUGAGCUGCUAUUCUGUGCUGUGCAUCUAAUUUGCUGUUCUGUGGCUCAUGGUAAUAACUUGUAAUCUUAAUUAAUUCAUGAACAUUUGGGCACAUUUUGGAAGCGUGUGAUGUUUUCAGUGAUGUAUCACACAGUCUGGCUGCUUUACGAUGUCCAGAAGGGAGGUAGGAGAGGCGGGGGAAUCCAAAUUCAGCCAAUUUACAAUAUAUUGAAGCAAACUUAUAUGAGCAAUUUUAUUCUGUAGUUACUCAUUUCCAAAUGUUGGUGAAACAUGAUCUUUUAUUUGCUCUACUCUCUGCCUCUGCUUUGGUUUAGCUGUUGGUCAGAACUCAGUUGUUGGAGGAGCAGCAGUCUGCUGCCAUCUGCUGGUAAGAAACGGUCCCUCCACUCGAAUAACUGCUCAAAACUUCUUAGUCCAAAAGAGGGAUUAUUAUCCUAAAGGCCAAUGAAAAGAGACCACUACAUAAUUGUAAUUUAUGCAAAUAAAUAUGACAAAGUAAAUAUAUAUAGUAGAAAUAUAAUGCAUAUAUUCAGUAUAAAACAAGUGUUAUCUUUCAAAAGACAAAAACUUGUCGGUGUUUAAACAUCGCCAAGAAAUGGCCUUCCUCUAGUUUUACCAGUUUAAGUAUACAUUUUUUUAUACUUACACAUAUUUUACAUAUUGCAAAAAGUUUUUUAAUUAUACACACAUAUACAUGUAUUCAUUUGAAAUUUGUCUUUAUGAUGUCUUUUGUCUAUUUGAAUGUAAUUUCUAAAGGAGUGUUUGUUUUUAUACAUAAUUUGUGCAGAUAUAAAAUCUGAAUUUGGUUUAAUAAA